AUGAUGGAGAUCAGGAUUGCCUGGCUUUGGCAGGUUCUGGGGGCCCAGAUCCUAGGUGCCAGGGGCCCUGAUGGGGCAUUACCUGUGCCGUCCAUUUGUAAGGCAAGAGGAGUGUCUUGGUGCUCACAGCAGCAUCUGUGAGUUUUUAUACAUGAUAAGCAGGCAAGCGGUUCAUCUGGGGAUCUGCUUCGCUGGUGGGCGGGGCUUCUGUCAUCCAAGCAGCAAGCAUUUGAGGAUGGAUUUGCAGAGCCGAGGAAUCAACGCUUCGCCGAUCUCGGCCCAGAGAAUCACAGAGUUUAAUUAUCCAGGCCCCCAGCUCGGGUCCCAGGCUCAGCAACAGAAGGAAGAAGGCCUCAUGGAUGGUGGGAAGCAGGUGCUUCCCUGGGGCCAGUGACCUCACAUCCUCGCCUCCCAGAACAGAUGACCUGCCUCUCAUCACGUGCUACCCCUGCAAUGGGAGCUCCCAGCCUCCACCUGAACUCCACCUGGGGCCCAUCUUACCCUGGCUCCAUCCUGCCUCAUGUCAGACCUCGUACCACCCACCCAUCACCCCAUCCCAGGUCUGUGACAGGGGAUGAGAGGCAGCAGGAGAGCUGUGUGCCCUCACCCAUGACCUCUGUCCUCUGUCACCACUGUGCACUUUGGAGGUUGCACUGGCACAAGGUGGGAGCUGAUGGUGGUGCCGGGCAGGUCCUUGAUGCCCCUGGGCCAGUCCGCCCCAGGGAGCACUAGGGAUUGAAUAAAUAUCUGCCGUGUUUAUUAAAAAAUAAAUUUGGUAAGUAACGGAAGUGUUGUUUCUAUACAUAGAAAAAAGGUUUAAAAUAAAAACCAAAACAGU
Leopardus geoffroyi (Geoffroy's cat) is the source of this 838-nucleotide long non-coding RNA. RefSeq lists it as uncharacterized. The record is from RefSeq and is a predicted model, not a curated record. NCBI's taxonomy places the organism in Eukaryota, Metazoa, Chordata, Mammalia, Carnivora, Felidae. The transcript is spliced from 3 exons.